CCAAAGCUUAGAGAAAAAAGAAAAGGAAUGAACAAAGCCUCCAAGAAACGUAGGACUAUGUGAAGAGACCAAACCUACCUUUGUUUGGUGUACCUAAAAGUGA
Molecule: long non-coding RNA, 103 nt
Organism: Sapajus apella (tufted capuchin)
Lineage: Eukaryota; Metazoa; Chordata; Mammalia; Primates; Cebidae
Exons: 2
Source: RefSeq, a predicted model, not a curated record